AUUGAACGCUGGCGGCAUGCCUUACACAUGCAAGUCGAACGGUAACAGGUCUUCGGAUGCUGACGAGUGGCGAACGGGCGAGUAAUACAUCGGAACGUGCCCGAUCGUGGGGGAUAACGGAGCGAAAGCUUUGCUAAUACCGCAUACGAUCUACGGAUGAAAGCAGGGGACCGCAAGGCCUUGCGCGGACGGAGCGGCCGAUGGCAGAUUAGGUAGUUGGUGGGAUAAAAGCUUACCAAGCCGACGAUCUGUAGCUGGUCUGAGAGGACGACCAGCCACACUGGGACUGAGACACGGCCCAGACUCCUACGGGAGGCAGCAGUGGGGAAUUUUGGACAAUGGGCGAAAGCCUGAUCCAGCCAUGCCGCGUGCAGGAUGAAGGCCUUCGGGUUGUAAACUGCUUUUGUACGGAACGAAAAGACUCUUUCUAAUAAAGAGGGUCCAUGACGGUACCGGAAGAAUAAGCACCGGCUAACUACGUG
RNAcentral lists this ribosomal RNA (482 nucleotides) under uncultured bacterium. RNAcentral's name for it is "partial 16S ribosomal RNA". It matches the Rfam family "Bacterial small subunit ribosomal RNA", at positions 30 to 507 of the family's 1533-position model. The record is from RNAcentral.